Molecule: transfer RNA, 59 nt
Filed under: Otolemur garnettii (small-eared galago)
Lineage: Eukaryota; Metazoa; Chordata; Mammalia; Primates; Galagidae
Rfam family: tRNA
About the family: Transfer RNA (tRNA) molecules are approximately 80 nucleotides in length. Their secondary structure includes four short double-helical elements and three loops (D, anti-codon, and T loops).
Source: Rfam by way of RNAcentral
UGGCUCAACAGAGUAGGGCACCGGCCCCAUAUGCCGGAGGUGGCGGGUUCAAAUCCUGC